UAGGGAAUAUUAGUAAUGGGCGAAAGCCUGAACUAGCAACGCCGCGUGUGCGAGGAAGGCCCUCGGGUUGUAAAGCACUUUUUGAGAGGAUGAGGAAGGACGGUACUCUCAGAAUAAGUCUCGGCUAACUACGUGCCAGCAGCCGCGGUAACACGUAGGAGGCAAACGUUAUCCGGAUUUACUGGGCGUAAAGCGCGUGUAGGUGGUUUGGUAAGUAGGGCGUGAAAGCUCCUGGCUCAACUGGGAGAGGCCGUUCUAAACUGCCGAACUAGAGGAUGGUAGAGGGAGGUGGAAUUCCGGGUGUAGCGGUGGAAUGCGCAGAUAUCCGGAGGAACACCAGUGGCGAAAGCGGCCUCCUGGACCAUUCCUGACACUCAGACGCGAAAGCUAGGGUAGCAAACGG
This 403-nucleotide ribosomal RNA is filed under the name uncultured bacterium. RNAcentral describes it as "bacterial SSU rRNA". It matches the Rfam family "Bacterial small subunit ribosomal RNA", at positions 355 to 775 of the family's 1533-position model. The record is from RNAcentral.